UUCGUCCGUUUGGUGGUGGGGAGUACGCCGGCUACGCCCGGGUAAUACCGCAUACGGUUGCCGAGGGGAGUCCCUUGGCAAAGAAACCUCCGGGGCACAGAGAGGGGCUCGCGGCCUAUCAGCUAGUUGGGGGGGUAAUGGCCCACCAAGGCGACGACGGGUAGCUGGUCUGAGAGGAUGGCCAGCCACAUUGGGACUGAGAGACGGCCCAG
This 212-nucleotide ribosomal RNA is filed under the name uncultured bacterium. RNAcentral describes it as "partial 16S ribosomal RNA". It matches the Rfam family "Bacterial small subunit ribosomal RNA", at positions 124 to 334 of the family's 1533-position model. The record is from RNAcentral.